RNAcentral lists this ribosomal RNA (460 nucleotides) under uncultured bacterium. RNAcentral's name for it is "partial 16S ribosomal RNA". It matches the Rfam family "Bacterial small subunit ribosomal RNA", at positions 338 to 795 of the family's 1533-position model. The record is from RNAcentral.
CCUACGGGUGGCAGCAGUGAGGAAUAUUGGUCAAUGGACGAGAGUCUGAACCAGCCAAGUAGCAUGAAGGAUGACUGCCCUAUGGGUUGUAAACUUCUUUUAUAAAGGAAUAAAACGAGGCACGUGUGCCUUUUUGCAUGUACUUUAUGAAUAAGGAUCGGCUAACUCCGUGCCAGCAGCCGCGGUAAUACGGAGGAUCCGAGCGUUAUCCGGAUUUAUUGGGUUUAAAGGGAGCGUAGAUGGGUUGUUAAGUCAGUUGUGAAAGUUUGCGGCUCAACCGUAAAAUUGCAAUUGAUACUGGCAGUCGUGAGUACAGUUGAGGUAGGCGGAAUUCGUGGUGUAGCGGUGAAAUGCUUAGAUAUCACGAAGAACCCCGAUUGCGAAGGCAGCUUACUAAACUGUGACUGACAUUGAUGCUCGAAAGUGUGGGUAUCAAACAGGAUUAGAUACCCCUGUAGUC